This 479-nucleotide ribosomal RNA is filed under the name Megaselia euryprocta. Its description in RNAcentral is "eukaryotic LSU rRNA". It matches the Rfam family "Eukaryotic large subunit ribosomal RNA", at positions 283 to 650 of the family's 3401-position model. The record is from RNAcentral. Lineage: Eukaryota; Metazoa; Arthropoda; Insecta; Diptera; Phoridae.
CAGCACUAAGUGGGUGGUAAACUCCAUCUAAAACUAAAUAUAACCAUGAGACCGAUAGCAAACAAGUACCGUGAGGGAAAGUUGAAAAGAACUCUGAAUAGAGAGUUAAAUAGUACGUGAAACUGCUUAGAGGUUAAGCCCGAUGAACCUGAAUAUCCGUUGUAGAAAAUUCAUCAUCAAUUGUGUGGUAUUUCUCGGAAUAUCAUAUGAAUGGUGUGCACUUUUUCUACUUAAGGACAUUGUAAUCUGUUAAUGUUUGAAUGCGUAUUAUAAGAACAUUUACAAUAGUUUUUACAUCAUUUGAUUUAUUAAAUGUGUUUAAAUGUGAGUGCUUCGAAUAUGCCAUUGACAGAUUUUUCUAUAUAUUGCACUUAAAUCACUUGUGAUUUUAUAAUAGUAUGAUUAUCAUUGAUUUUUGUAUUCAUUAUAUGUGCAUAUAUGAUUGACAAUGCGAAAGAUUCAGGAUACCUUCGGGACCC